RNAcentral lists this ribosomal RNA (253 nucleotides) under uncultured bacterium. RNAcentral describes it as "partial 16S ribosomal RNA". It matches the Rfam family "Bacterial small subunit ribosomal RNA", at positions 524 to 776 of the family's 1533-position model. The record is from RNAcentral.
UACAGAGGGUGCAAGCGUUGUUCGGAAUUACUGGGCGUAAAGCGCGUGUAGGCGGCGGCGUAAGUCGGAUGUGAAAUCCCUUGGCUUAACCAAGGAAGUGCAUCCGAUACUGCGUCGCUUGAGUGCCGGAGGGGAUGGCGGAAUUCCCGGUGUAGAGGUGAAAUUCGUAGAUAUCGGGAGGAACACCUGUGGCGAAGGCGGCCAUCUGGACGGUAACUGACGCUGAGACGCGAAAGCGUGGGUAGCAAACAGG